Molecule: ribosomal RNA, 253 nt
Filed under: uncultured bacterium
Lineage: Bacteria
Description: partial 16S ribosomal RNA
Rfam family: Bacterial small subunit ribosomal RNA
Source: RNAcentral
UACGUAGGGCGCAAGCGUUGUCCGGAAUUAUUGGGCGUAAAGAGCUCGUAGGCGGUCUGUCGCGUCUGCCGUGAAAACCCGAGGCUUAACCUCGGGCCUGCGGUGGAUACGGGCAGACUAGAGGUAGGUAGGGGAGAAUGGAAUUCCCGGUGUAGCGGUGAAAUGCGCAGAUAUCAGGAGGAACACCGAUGGCGAAGGCAGUUCUCUGGGCCGUAACUGACGCUGAGGAGCGAAAGCGUGGGGAGCGAACAGG